AUGCAUGUCUAAGUAUAAGCAACUAUACGGUGAAACUGCGAAUGGCUCAUUAAAUCAGUUAUCGUUUAUUUGAUAGUACCUUACUACAUGGAUAACCGUGGUAAUUCUAGAGCUAAUACAUGCUAAAAACCCCGACUUCGGGAGGGGUGUAUUUAUUAGAUAAAAAACCAAUGCCCUUCGGGGCUCCUUGGUGAAUCAUAAUAACUUAACGAAUCGCAUGGCCUUGCGCCGGCGAUGGUUCAUUCAAAUUUCUGCCCUAUCAACUUUCGAUGGUAGGAUAGUGGCCUACCAUGGUAUCAACGGGUAACGGGGUAUUAGGGUACGAUACCGGAGAGGGAGCCUGAGAAACGGCUACCACAUCCAAGGAAGGCAGCAGGCGCGCAAAUUACCCAAUCCCGACACGGGGAGGUAGUGACAAUAAAUACUGAUACAGGGCUCUUUUGGGUCUUGUAAUUGGAAUGAGUACAAUUUAAAUCCCUUAACGAGGAACAAUUGGAGGGCAAGUCUGGUGCCAGCAGCCGCGGUAAUUCCAGCUCCAAUAGCGUAUAUUAAAGUUGUUGCAGUUAAAAAGCUCGUAGUUGAACUUGGGCCUGGCUGGCCGGUCCGCCUCACCGCGUGUACUGGUCCGGCCGGGCCUUUCCUUCUGGGGAACCGCAUGCCCUUCACUGGGCGUGUCGGGGAACCAGGACUUUUACUUUGAAAAAAUUAGAGUGUUCAAAGCAGGCCUUUGCUCGAAUACAUUAGCAUGGAAUAAUAGAAUAGGACGUGCGGUUCUAUUUUGUUGGUUUCUAGGACCGCCGUAAUGAUUAAUAGGGAUAGUCGGGGGCAUCAGUAUUCAAUUGUCAGAGGUGAAAUUCUUGGAUUUAUUGAAGACUAACUACUGCGAAAGCAUUUGCCAAGGAUGUUUUCAUUAAUCAGUGAACGAAAGUUAGGGGAUCGAAGACGAUCAGAUACCGUCGUAGUCUUAACCAUAAACUAUGCCGACUAGGGAUCGGUGGAUGUUACUAUUUUGACUCCAUCGGCACCUUACGAGAAAUCAAAGUUUUUGGGUUCUGGGGGGAGUAUGGUCGCAAGGC
Molecule: ribosomal RNA, 1076 nt
Filed under: Sthughesia juniperi
Lineage: Eukaryota; Fungi; Ascomycota; Dothideomycetes; Mycosphaerellales; Mycosphaerellaceae
Description: SSU rRNA
Rfam family: Eukaryotic small subunit ribosomal RNA
Source: RNAcentral